This 494-nucleotide ribosomal RNA is filed under the name uncultured bacterium. RNAcentral's name for it is "partial 16S ribosomal RNA". It matches the Rfam family "Bacterial small subunit ribosomal RNA", at positions 28 to 523 of the family's 1533-position model. The record is from RNAcentral.
GAUGAACGCUGGCGGCGUGCCUAACACAUGCAAGUCGAACGGAGUUAUUAUUAUGAAGUUUUCGGAUGGAUUAAUAAUAACUUAGUGGCGGACGGGUGAGUAACGCGUGGGUAACCUGCCUCAUACAGGGGGAUAACAGUUGGAAACGGCUGCUAAAACCGCAUAACAUUGCACUGCCGCAUGACAGAGCAAUUAAAUAUUUAUAGGUAUGAGAUGGGCCCGCGUCUGAUUAGCUAGUUGGUAAGGUAACGGCUUACCAAGGCGACGAUCAGUAGCCGGCUUGAGAGAGGGACCGGCCCCAUUGGGACUGAGACACGGCCCAAACUCCUACGGGAGGCAGCAGUGGGGAAUAUUGCACAAUGGGGGAAACCCUGAUGCAGCGACGCCGCGUGAGUGAAGAAGUAUUUCGGUAUGUAAAGCUCUAUCAGCAGGGAAGAAAAUGACGGUACCUGACUAAGAAGCCCCGGCUAACUACGUGCCAGCCGCCGCCGUAA